GAAUUUUGGACAAUGGGCGCAAGCCUGAUCCAGCCAUGCCGCGUGCGGGAAGAAGGCCUUCGGGUUGUAAACCGCUUUUGGCAGGAACGAAACGGCGCGAGAUAACACCUCGCGUUCAUGACGGUACCUGCAGAAUAAGCACCGGCCAACUACCUGCCAGCCGCCGCGGUAAUACGUAGGGUGCCAGCGUUAAUCGGAAUUACUGGGCGUAAAGCGUACGCAGGCGGCUUUGCAAGACAGGUGUGAAAUCCCCGGGCCUAACGUGGGAACUGCAUUUGUGACUGCAAAGCUAGAGUCCGUCAGAGGGGGGUGGAAUUCCACGUGUAGCAGUGAAAUGCGUAGAGAUGUGGAAGAACACCGAUGGCGAAGGCAGCCCCCUGGGAUGAGACUGACGCUCAGGUACGAAAGCGUGGGGAGCAAACAGG
This 425-nucleotide ribosomal RNA is filed under the name uncultured bacterium. Its description in RNAcentral is "bacterial SSU rRNA". It matches the Rfam family "Bacterial small subunit ribosomal RNA", at positions 359 to 776 of the family's 1533-position model. The record is from RNAcentral.